RNAcentral lists this ribosomal RNA (848 nucleotides) under uncultured bacterium. RNAcentral's name for it is "bacterial SSU rRNA". It matches the Rfam family "Bacterial small subunit ribosomal RNA", at positions 524 to 1381 of the family's 1533-position model. The record is from RNAcentral.
UACGUAGGGCGCAAGCGUUAUCCGAAUUUACUGGGCGUAAAGGGUCGCGUGGGCGGCCGUUCACAUCUCACUUUAAAUGGCGAGGCUUAACCUCGUCUUCGGUGAGAGAUGGAAUGGCUAGAGGAAUGGUGGGGUUUCCGGAACUUCCGGUGUAGCAGUGAAAUGCGUUGAUAUCGGAAGGAACACCAAGAGCGAAGGCAGGAAACCAACCUUCUCCUGACGCUGAGGCACGACAGCUAGGGGAGCGAAGCAGAUUAGAGACCUGCGUAGUCCUAGCUAUAAACGCAUGGGUGCUAGAUGGCCCGAUUUAUCGGGCUGUCGCAAGCUAACGCGUUAAGCACCCCGCCUGGGGAGUACGGCCGCAAGGUUGAAACUCAAAGGAAUUGGCGGGGACCCGCACAACCGGUGGAGCAUGUGGUUUAAUUCGAGACGAAGCGAAAGACCUCACCACGGUUUGACAUCUUAUCGUUUAACCCUGAUGAAAGUCGGGGCCAUCCGCAAGGAUGAUAAGAAAGCUGCUGCAUGGCUGUCGUCAGCUCGUACCGUGAGGUGUUCCCUUAAGUGGGGUAACGAGCGCAACCCUCGUCCCGAGUUAUAUUUGUCUCGGGAUACUGCUCCGACAUUUGUCGGGGAGGAAGGUGGGGACGACGUCAAGUCAGCACGGCGCUUAUGCCGUGGGCCACACACAUCCUACAAUGGCGAAAAACAAUGAGGCGCAAGCCGGUGACGGCAAGCAAAUCUCUGAAAUUUCGCCUCAGUUGGGAUUGGAGUCUGCAACUCGACUCCAUGAACUAGGAAUCGGUAGUAAUCGCGAAUCAGCAGGUCGCGGUGAAUACGUUCUCGGGUCU